AGAGUUUGAUCCUGGCUCAGAUUGAACGCUGGCGGCAGGCCUAACACAUGCAAGUCGAACGGUAACAGGAAACAGCUUGCUGUUUCGCUGACGAGUGGCGGACGGGUGAGUAAUGUCUGGGAAACUGCCUGAUGGAGGGGGAUAACUACUGGAAACGGUAGCUAAUACCGCAUAACGUCGCAAGACCAAAGAGGGGGACCUUCGGGCCUCUUGCCAUCAGAUGUGCCCAGAUGGGAUUAGCUAGUAGGUGGGGUAACGGCUCACCUAGGCGACGAUCCCUAGCUGGUCUGAGAGGAUGACCAGCCACACUGGAACUGAGACACGGUCCAGACUCCUACGGGAGGCAGCAGUGGGGAAUAUUGCACAAUGGGCGCAAGCCUGAUGCAGCCAUGCCGCGUGUAUGAAGAAGGCCUUCGGGUUGUAAAGUACUUUCAGCGGGGAGGAAGGGAGUAAAGUUAAUACCUUUGCUCAUUGACGUUACCCGCAGAAGAAGCACCGGCUAACUCCGUGCCAGCAGCCGCGGUAAUACGGAGGGUGCAAGCGUUAAUCGGAAUUACUGGGCGUAAAGCGCACGCAGGCGGUUUGUUAAGUCAGAUGUGAAAUCCCCGGGCUCAACCUGGGAACUGCAUCUGAUACUGGCAAGCUUGAGUCUCGUAGAGGGGGGUAGAAUUCCAGGUGUAGCGGUGAAAUGCGUAGAGAUCUGGAGGAAUACCGGUGGCGAAGGCGGCCCCCUGGACGAAGACUGACGCUCAGGUGCGAAAGCGUGGGGAGCAAACAGGAUUAGAUACCCUGGUAGUCCACGCCGUAAACGAUGUCGACUUGGAGGUUGUGCCCUUGAGGCGUGGCUUCCGGAGCUAACGCGUUAAGUCGACCGCCUGGGGAGUACGGCCGCAAGGUUAAAACUCAAAUGAAUUGACGGGGGCCCGCACAAGCGGUGGAGCAUGUGGUUUAAUUCGAUGCAACGCGAAGAACCUUACCUGGUCUUGACAUCCACGGAAGUUUUCAGAGAUGAGAAUGUGCCUUCGGGAACCGUGAGACAGGUGCUGCAUGGCUGUCGUCAGCUCGUGUUGUGAAAUGUUGGGUUAAGUCCCGCAACGAGCGCAACCCUUAUCCUUUGUUGCCAGCGGUCCGGCCGGGAACUCAAAGGAGACUGCCAGUGAUAAACUGGAGGAAGGUGGGGAUGACGUCAAGUCAUCAUGGCCCUUACGACCAGGGCUACACACGUGCUACAAUGGCGCAUACAAAGAGAAGCGACCUCGCGAGAGCAAGCGGACCUCAUAAAGCGCGUCGUAGUCCGGAUUGGAGUCUGCAACUCGACUCCAUGAAGUCGGAAUCGCUAGUAAUCGUGGAUCAGAAUGCCACGGUGAAUACGUUCCCGGGCCUUGUACACACCGCCCGUCACACCAUGGGAGUGGGUUGCAAAAGAAGUAGGUAGCUUAACCUUCGGGAGGGCGCUUACCACUUUGUGAUUCAUGACUGGGGUGAAGUCGUAACAAGGUAACCGUAGGGGAACCUGCGGCUGGAUCACCUCCUU
Molecule: ribosomal RNA, 1534 nt
Filed under: Escherichia coli
Lineage: Bacteria; Pseudomonadati; Pseudomonadota; Gammaproteobacteria; Enterobacterales; Enterobacteriaceae
Description: bacterial SSU rRNA
Rfam family: Bacterial small subunit ribosomal RNA
Source: RNAcentral